This 76-nucleotide transfer RNA is filed under the name Desulfacinum infernum. RNAcentral describes it as "tRNA-Val". It matches the Rfam family "tRNA". From Rfam's summary of the family: Transfer RNA (tRNA) molecules are approximately 80 nucleotides in length. The record is from RNAcentral. RNAcentral also lists the same sequence under 4 other names. Lineage: Bacteria; Pseudomonadati; Thermodesulfobacteriota; Syntrophobacteria; Syntrophobacterales; Syntrophobacteraceae.
GGGCGGAUAGCUCAGGUGGGAGAGCAUCGGCCUUACAAGCCGGGGGUCACAGGUUCGAGCCCUGUUCCGCCCACCA